RNAcentral lists this unclassified non-coding RNA (145 nucleotides) under soil metagenome. RNAcentral describes it as "partial internal transcribed spacer 1". The record is from RNAcentral.
UAAUAAGUGUUUUAUGGCACUUUUUAAAUCCAUAUCCACCUUGCGUGCAAUGUCAGUCGAUCUUCUUCAUGGAGAUCGACCAAACAUCAACCUUUAUCUUUUAACUCUUUGUCUGAAUAAUAUUAUGAAUAAACAAUUCAAAAUA